Molecule: ribosomal RNA, 501 nt
Filed under: uncultured bacterium
Lineage: Bacteria
Description: bacterial SSU rRNA
Rfam family: Bacterial small subunit ribosomal RNA
Source: RNAcentral
AUUGAACGCUGGCGGAAUGCUUUACACAUGCAAGUCGAACGGUAGAGGGGGCAACCCCUUGAGAGUGGCGAACGGGCGAGUAAUAUAUCGGAACGUGCCCAGUCGUGAGGGAUAACGUAGCGAAAGUUACGCUAAUACCGCAUACGAUCUACGGAUGAAAGCGGGGGACUCGCAAGAGCCUCGCGCGAUUGGAGCGGCCGAUAUCAGAUUAGGUAGUUGGUGGGGUAAAGGCUCACCAAGCCAACGAUCUGUAGCUGGUCUGAGAGGACGACCAGCCACACUGGAACUGAGACACGGUCCAGACUCCUACGGGAGGCAGCAGUGGGGAAUUUUGGACAAUGGACGCAAGUCUGAUCCAGCCAUUCCGCGUGCAGGAUGAAGGCCCUCGGGUUGUAAACUGCUUUUGUACGGAACGAAAGGUUUCUAUUAAUACUAGGAGCUCAUGUCGGUACCGUAAGAAUAAGCACCGGCUAACUACGUGCCAGCAGCCGCGGUAAAGUG